AUUUACUCUCAUAGCACAGUCUCUUAUUCAACCCGUAACGUGUUCAUUACUCUUUUUACGGAAAUUCUUUGUAGUUAUUUUUUAAUAAAGUUUAACCCGAGUAAUUUUUAUUUACUCCGACUAUAGAAUUUUUUUUUUAUUAAUUUUUAGAAAAUUUACUGACUUAUAAUGAUAACUUUUUCAUCCGACCAAAAGACCGUUUAUUUUUUUUUCUUUCGAAAUAAAAUUGCAUUGUAAAAAAAAAAAAGUUGUUUUUGUUUUAUAACUAUACGAAGUGUGAACAGUACGUAAGAGAUUUUCAAUGUUGUUUAAAACUCAAAAAAAUCCAUUUUUGUAAAACAUUCUAUUGUGUACUUACAUGUAUGCGUAUAUGAGAAUGUGUGUAUACACAUAUAGAUGAACAAGUAUCGGACCGACACACAGAGAUCGGAGAAAUGAUAUUGGAAUUGGAAAAAACUGUAUAGAAAUAGGAAUCCUUUAUAGAUAAAAAUAAAAAUAUCCAUUGGUGGUGUAGAAUAUAAUGUACAUGUAUGUACCUGUAUGUGUGUAAAAUGUUUCGAGCCCCUUGGAUGUUCAGCAAAAAGUUUCAAUUUCGCGGAGCUCACCGGUCAGUGUCUCAUCGGGUUACCUAGAGGCGAAUCGCUCUCGUGAGACGUGAUUUGCUUUGACGAGAUAAGAGAUAACUAUAAAUAUCAUCGAUGCCGGGGCUGCUUUUUUGGAUUAAGGAUAUUCGUUAGGGUUUCUGAAUAAAGCAAGAAAUCGGAGGAAAUAAAAAUGGUGCAAAGAAAAUUUUCAGUUUGGAAAAUCGAAUGAUACGCCCUGGUGAAUAAUUUCACUUGCCCUUUUCUCAGAGUAUCACGUAAGCACGAUAAAACUUUUUCCGUACUCUCAUGAGGCUAUUUUUGGAUAUAUUCUAACAUUUUUCUCAACUUUUAUAUACGUCACAUCUAUGAAAAAAAAUAUUUAUUCUAGUCAACAGUUGGAAUGCUUUAUAUAAAAUUUAAUGUUAUCAAAAAAAAAAAAAUUCUUUAGUUUAAGACAGAAAAUAAAAUGAUUGAGUGAAGAAAAAAAAAAGGCAAAGCAAGGAAAAAAUUAUGGCAAGAUAAAAACGGAUUCGUGUAAUGUCUCAUUUUUAACGGCCAGAGGACACGCAUUUCUUUUUAAGAAGAAGAAGAGUUCAAAUAAAUAAAAA
RNAcentral lists this long non-coding RNA (1192 nucleotides) under Cotesia glomerata. RNAcentral describes it as "uncharacterized LOC123265015, transcript variant X3". The record is from RNAcentral. Lineage: Eukaryota; Metazoa; Arthropoda; Insecta; Hymenoptera; Braconidae.